This 253-nucleotide ribosomal RNA is filed under the name uncultured bacterium. RNAcentral describes it as "partial 16S ribosomal RNA". It matches the Rfam family "Bacterial small subunit ribosomal RNA", at positions 524 to 776 of the family's 1533-position model. The record is from RNAcentral.
UACAGAGGUCCCGAGCGUUGUUCGGAUUCAUUGGGCGUAAAGGGCGCGUAGGCGGCGGGGUAAGUUUGAUGUGAAAUCCCGGGGCUCAACCCUGGAAUUGCAUUGAAUACUACCUUGCUAGAGUACCGGAGAGGAAACUGGAAUUUACGGUGUAGCAGUGAAAUGCGUAGAGAUCGUAAGGAAGACCAGUGGCGAAGGCGAGUUUCUGGACGGUAACUGACGCUGAGGCACGAAGGCCAGGGGAGCAAACGGG